RNAcentral lists this ribosomal RNA (459 nucleotides) under uncultured bacterium. RNAcentral describes it as "partial 16S ribosomal RNA". It matches the Rfam family "Bacterial small subunit ribosomal RNA", at positions 338 to 795 of the family's 1533-position model. The record is from RNAcentral.
CCUACGGGAGGCAGCAGUGAGGAAUAUUGGUCAAUGGACGAGAGUCUGAACCAGCCAAGUAGCGUGAAGGAUGACUGCCCUAUGGGUUGUAAACUUCUUUUAUAAAGGAAUAAAACGAGGCACGUGUGCCUUUUUGCAUGUACUUUAUGAAUAAGGAUCGGCUAACUCCGUGCCAGCAGCCGCGGUAAUACGGAGGAUGCGAGCGUUAUCCGGAUUUAUUGGGUUUAAAGGGUGCGUAGGCGGAAGGUUAAGUCAGCGGUCAAAUGUCGGUGCUCAACACCGGCCUGCCGUUGAAACUGGUCUUCUUGAGUGAGCGAGAAGUAUGCGGAAUGCGUGGUGUAGCGGUGAAAUGCAUAGAUAUCACGCAGAACUCCGAUUGCGAAGGCAGCAUACCGGCGCUCAACUGACGCUGAGGCACGAAAGCGUGGGGAUCGAACAGGAUUAGAUACCCUAGUAGUC